Molecule: long non-coding RNA, 615 nt
Organism: Nicotiana tabacum (common tobacco)
Lineage: Eukaryota; Viridiplantae; Streptophyta; Magnoliopsida; Solanales; Solanaceae
Source: RefSeq, a predicted model, not a curated record
AUUUCUUUUUUCUUCUUUGAUUUCUCUUCCAUUUGAUCUGUGCAGCUGACAGAGGCAAACGGCUGAAGGAGGCAAAAGGUUGACAGAGGCAAACGGUUGAAAUCUUACGGAAGCCUAUCAAAAACUUUUGGAGGAAUGGCGUCAAAGUCAACCCGAUUUCGAGGAUGGUAACUCAACCCAAGUGUCACUCAAUGAUGUAGCUUCAAUAUGGACGCAGGUGGUUGGCGAUGCAAAGAAAGGUAGAACCUACGGUCUUGGAUCACAAUAUUCCGUAGGUCGUCCUACGAUAUUGUUGUCUGGUGAUACGAGUUAUUCGCAGGAUCGUGAAGAGGUUGAAGCAUUACGAAAAGAAGUUGAAGAGUUAAAGGAGGAACGGAAAGAAGAUCGUGUAAAUUUUAACAAAUUGCAGAGUCUAGUUGAGAAACUUAUGAGCAUGCGUCAAGUUGAUCCUUUGAAUGACGAACAUGGCGGGGAUAAUGAGUUUUAGUUUGUCGUGGUUGUGAUGUUUGAGACAUUAUUAUUUGUUAUGGUUGGAUGUAAACUUGGUAAAUGUUUAGACUUGACUAUGACUGUAAUGUUAAGAUUUGAUUGAAUGGUGCUUGGAUGUUUAACUUG